This 274-nucleotide ribosomal RNA is filed under the name uncultured bacterium. Its description in RNAcentral is "partial 16S ribosomal RNA". It matches the Rfam family "Bacterial small subunit ribosomal RNA", at positions 523 to 796 of the family's 1533-position model. The record is from RNAcentral.
AUACGGAGGGUGCGAGCGUUAAUCGGAAUCACUGGGCGUAAAGCGUACGUAGGCGGUUGGUUAAGUUAGAUGUGAAAGCCCCGGGCUUAACCUGGGAACUGCAUUUAAAACUGGCGAACUAGAGUUGAGUAGAGGGGAGUGGAAUUUCAGGUGUAGCGGUGAAAUGCGUAGAGAUCUGAAGGAACACCAGUGGCGAAGGCGACUCCCUGGACUCGAACUGACGCUGAGGCACGAAAGCGUGGGUAGCAAACGGGAUUAGAUACCCUAGUAGUCC